This 259-nucleotide ribosomal RNA is filed under the name uncultured bacterium. RNAcentral describes it as "partial 16S ribosomal RNA". It matches the Rfam family "Bacterial small subunit ribosomal RNA", at positions 524 to 776 of the family's 1533-position model. The record is from RNAcentral.
UACGAAGGGGGCUAGCGUUGCUCGGAAUUACUGGGCGUAAAGCGCACGUAGGCGGCUUUCUAAGUCGGGGGUGAAAUCCUGGAGCUCAACUCCAGAACUGCCUUCGAUACUGGAGAGCUCGAGUCCGGGAGAGGUGAGUGGAACUGCGAAGUGUAGAGGUGAAAUUCGUAGAUAUUUCGCAAGAACACCAGUGGCGAAAGGCGGCUCACUGGCCCGGUACUGACGCUGAGGUGCGAAAGCGUUGGGGGAGCAAAACAGG